GAUGAACGCUGGCGGCGUGCCUAAUACAUGCAAGUCGAGCGAACGGACGAGAAGCUUGCUUCUCUGAUGUUAGCGGCGGCCGGGUGAGUAACACGUGGAUAACCUACCUAUAAGACUGGGAUAACUUCGGGAAACCGGAGCUAAUACCGGAUAAUAUUUUGAACCGCAUGGUUCAAAAGUGAAAGACGGUCUUGCUGUCACUUAUAGAUGGAUCCGCGCUGCAUUAGCUAGUUGGUAAGGUAACGGCUUACCAAGGCAACGAUGCAUAGCCGACCUGAGAGGGUGAUCGGCCACACUGGAACUGGGCCACGGUCCAGACUCCUACGGGAGGCAGCAGUAGGGAAUCUUCCGCAAUGGGCGAAAGCCUGACGGAGCAACGCCGCGUGAGUGAUGAAGGUCUUCGGAUCGUAAAACUCUGUUAUUAGGGAAGAACAUAUGUGUAAGUAACUGUGCACAUCUUGACGGUACCUAAUCAGAAAGCCACGGCUAACUACGUG
RNAcentral lists this ribosomal RNA (497 nucleotides) under uncultured bacterium. Its description in RNAcentral is "partial 16S ribosomal RNA". It matches the Rfam family "Bacterial small subunit ribosomal RNA", at positions 28 to 507 of the family's 1533-position model. The record is from RNAcentral.